Molecule: long non-coding RNA, 1993 nt
Organism: Olea europaea var. sylvestris
Lineage: Eukaryota; Viridiplantae; Streptophyta; Magnoliopsida; Lamiales; Oleaceae
Exons: 3
Source: RefSeq, a predicted model, not a curated record
UUAAAGUAAGAAAGCAUUGUUAAAGGAAACAAAUCUAGAAGGAAAAUAACUUCCAACUUUUCUAUGGCAAGGAUAUGCCAGGUAACAUACAAUAGAAUUGUCAUACACUGAGAAAGGCUUUGUAUUUUUUGAAUGACAAAGCUUUUAGAAAUUAUAAGCUGUUGGGACCCGAAACGUGGUCAAAAAGUGGAUAAGUCAUGCAAUGAACUGUGUGGUUAAAAAUGAAGUUUGGCAUCUUUUAAUCUACAAAAAGCUUUGUCAAAAAGGGACUAAACAUGUAGAGUCAGCCACAUGAAUCCUUUUUGGCUACUCCAUUCGCUUCAGAAUUUGGAAGAAAUUAUGGUGUGCAAUUCUUUUUUCAGUGAAGAUCCUCCUUCCCUUAUCUUUAUAGUUCUCUAGUUAAACAUAACAAAUUUAUAGGGUAGAAGAUACUUUGGGCUCAGGGAGUUUCUUCUUAUAUUUCUUUUCUUUCUGCUUAAACAACCAAUCCUCUGUUUUGGUUUCAUUGAAUCUUUUUUAUCAACUUCGAAAACAAACCGGAAUUCCAUCUUGACAUGACAAUCAGUUGCAACUCUUUUGCUGAUUCAUUAAUGACAUGUAGUUGUUGAACAUCUAGCCUGCACCUAGUGCAAACCUUUUGAAAGAAAAACAAGUGCAUUGUGCAUAAAUUUGCACCCAAGUAGAAGGGUUGAUUUUCUGAGGCAGCAGGACAUGAAACAGGACUAUGAUCAAGGGAGUCGUACAGGAGGGUCAUUUAACCCUUAGACUAAAACAAUAAAUUGCUUGUAGACAGCAUAGCUAUGAGAGCUCUACUAUUUGUGUUUUCCUUGGCACUGUAACUGAAUCUCACUAUCAAGUAUCAAUCAAAGUAUUAAAAAAAUAAUAAUAAUCUAACUAAAAGUAAAAGAGGCAAUUGUGAAUUACUGUUCACAAGCCAAAUUUGUGGUCUAAGCCACUUUGAAUUGAGCCAGAUUAAUUGAGCUGCUUGGAAGUCAGUGGGUUUUCAUAUGGGAACUUUUCAUCUUCUAAAAAAGAUAAGCAUCCUUUUUCAUUUCUCUUUCUAAUAUUCACCAAAGGCUUCGCUUUUUCCUCUUUCUUUCUAGAUUUGAAAAUAGUUCUAAAAAUCUAUGAAGAAUUGAGCACAAAUUUUGGGAAUCUGUUUUCUUUUCUGGCUAAGCUUCAAAUUCAGUACAAUUUGUGGGAAUCUGUUCUCUUUUUUGGCUAAGCUUCAAAUUCCGAUCUAAUUCUGAGCACAAAUAGAGAGGAACCCAAAAAGGUAAAAUUAAGAAAAGAGGAGAAAAUUAUUUUUACAAAUUUAUAAGUUUUCAAAUGGAAUAAGGCAUGCUGAGUUUUAAUUGAGCACUUCAUUUGAAGUUUCACCCGUUAAUUUUCUGUCCUUUUUUUUUAUUGCAUGCAUUGGAAUUUUUCAGAGUAUUCUUUCUGGGUUUUGUUAAAGAUGAAGAUUCACAAUGACCUCGGUGUUUGCUUUCUCCUUUUAAACAUUUUAUGGGAAGUUUGUCAAUUUCACAUAAUUUCUUUUUACACUGCUUUUAUUGUUGAGCGUGUACAAAAGAAAAAUUAAUCCAUGAAUGCUAUUUAGAUCAUGGUACUAGCUCAAAGGAAUGGCUUGAAACAGAUAUAGUUUCUUGAAGUUUGGGUCCUAUAGAAUGGAAAUUCACUGGAUGUAAAAUUGGGUUUAAUUUAUCCACUUUCAAGCACCCCUAUAUUAUUGUGCAGAUGCAAUGAAUUUGGAAUAUUAUGUAUCGAGCAUAAUGAUAUUUCCUUUGAAUCUGUUAGGCGAGUUCACACUGUGUUUUUCUAAGUGGUGGUUUAGAUCUCUCCCAAGCUGAGAAUGUGGAGGAACUUAUAUCAGCUAAAUCAAUGGCUGCUGUAGAUACAACAUUGGCAGAACCAUUUCCAUCUGAUGCACAAUAACAUAAGAACAUGUUCUCUGAUUGGCUAAAGCACAGAGCUGAAGUCUACAAACUGAAAG